This is a long non-coding RNA of Hemicordylus capensis (graceful crag lizard), 408 nucleotides long. RefSeq lists it as uncharacterized. The transcript has 3 exons. Lineage: Eukaryota; Metazoa; Chordata; Lepidosauria; Squamata; Cordylidae. The record is from RefSeq and is a predicted model, not a curated record.
CAGCAAGCCAGGAAGGAGGCUGGCAGAGCUCCCUGCAGCAGACCAGACCAUUCAGCACAGCUUUUGCAAGUUGCCGUGCACUGAGUUGACACUUUCAGCGAGCUGUCUACCACUACCCCAAGAUCUCCCUCCUGGAUUGCUUUUACCUGAAAUAAAGUUCUCCAUCCUCAAACUGCUAGAGGAAAAAAUUCCCACUGAAAAUACUGGAGCAAGAUGAAUUUACAUCCCAAGAAGAUUUGGCCUUUAAAUUUAAGUGAUGAACACAAUUACACCUUUGGCUCAACUCCUAAUCCAGCAUCCAGAUGGCUCAAUUAGUAAUAUUGUAAAGGAUUCUUUCAUUAUUUAUGCUGAUUCAAAUGUACCUAAGUGGUUUUUAACAAUUGCAUUUACCCCACUAUGGGGAGGGAA